AGGAUAAACGCUGGCGGCGUGCCUAACACAUGCAAGUCGAACGCGCUUGCUAUCCGCGAGGAGGGUGAGCGAGUGGCGGACGGGUGAGGAACACGUGGGUGACCUACCUUUCAGUGAGGGAUACCGGCGAGAAAUUGCCGACAAGACCGCAUACGCUUCUCUUUUCAAGGGGAGAAGGAAAGCUUUUCGCAAGAGAGGCGCUGGGAGAUGGGCCUGCGGCCGAUUAGCUAGUUGGUGGGGUAAGAGCCUACCAAGGCGUCGAUCGGUAGCUGGUCUGAGAGGACGAUCAGCCACACUGGGAUUGAGAACGGCCCAGACUCCUACGGGGGGCAGCAGUGAGGAAUUUUCGGCAAUGGGGGAAACCCUGACCGAGCAACGCCGCGUGCAGGAAGACGGCCUUCGGGUUGUAAACUGCUUUUCUUUGGGACGAGCAAGGACGGUACCAGAGGAAUCAGCCCCGGCUCACUACGUGCCAGCAGCCGC
This 483-nucleotide ribosomal RNA is filed under the name uncultured bacterium. RNAcentral's name for it is "SSU rRNA". It matches the Rfam family "Bacterial small subunit ribosomal RNA", at positions 26 to 518 of the family's 1533-position model. The record is from RNAcentral.